GUAGCUCUUAUGCCCCCCACAAUUGCAACUUCAACUACAACUGUAGCAUCACCUACAACAACAACUGCAGAUGCUUCCACAACCACAAGUGCAGCACCUACUACCUCAAUCCCAACUGCAGGUCCUACUACCAUUUUGACUCCUAAGACAAUCACAACUGAAGCUCCUACAGAAAUCACAACUGUAGCUCUUAUGCCCCCCACAAUUGCAACUUCAAUUACAACUGUAGCAUCGCCUACAACAACAACUACAGAUGCUUCCACAACCACAAGUGCAGCACCUACUACAUCAAUCCCAACUGCAGGUCCUACUACCAUUUUGACUCCUAAGACAAUCACAACUGAAGCUCCUACAGAAAUCACAACUGUAGCUCUUAUACCCCCCACAAUUGCAACUUCUACUUCAACAACUGUUGCUUCCACGAACACAACUGCAGCGGCUCCUAUAAUAACAACUGUAGAUGCUUCCAUAAACAAAACAGCAGCACCUACUACGUCAAUCUCAACUGCAGGUCCUACUACCAAUUUAACUCCAACGACAACCUCAACUGAAGCUCCAACAGACAUCACAACUGUCGCUCCUAUGCACCCCACAAUUGCAACUUCAAAUGUAGCAUCACCUACAACAACAACUGCAGAUGCUUCCACAACCACAAGUGCAGCACCUACUACCUCAAUCCCAACUGCAGGUCCUACUACCAUUUUGACUCCUAAGACAAUCACAACUGAAGCUCCUACAGAAAUCACAACUGUAGCUCUUAUGCCCCCCACAACUUCUACUUCAACAACUGUUGCUCCCACGACCACAACUGCAGCAGCUCCUAUAACAACAACUGUAGAUGCUUCCAGAAACACAACAUCAGCACCUACUACGUCAAUCACAACUGCAGGUCCUACUAACAUUUUGACUCCAAUGACAAGCACAACUGAGGCUCCUUCAGACGUCACUACUGUUGCUCCUUUGAACCCCACAAUUGCAGCUUCUUCUUCAACAACUGUAGCUCCCACGAUCACUACAACUGCAGAAGCUCCUACGACAACAACUGUAGCUGCUUCUACAUUUACUACUGCAUCCCCUACUGCAACCACAACAGACGCUCCUUCUACAACAACUGUAGCAUCAAUGACUUUAGGAACAACAGUCCCAACGACAACUGCAGCUAAUUCCUCAACUUUAGCUCCUUCAAUGCCAAUCCCAACUGCAGCUCCUAUAACAACAACUCUUGCUCCUACAACCUCUACAACUUCAGCACCCACUAGUUUAUUCACAACUGCAGGUCCUACUACCAUUUUACCUCCUUCGACAACCACUACAACAACUGUAGCUCCUACAAUGUCAAUCUCAACUGCAGGUCCUACUACCAUUUUACCUCCUACGACAACCACAACUGUAUCACCUAUGACAACCUCAACAACUGUAGCUCCUACAACACCAAUCACAACUGCAGGUCCUAAAACCAUAUUAACGACAACCGCCACUGCAACUUCUACUACAACUACAAAUGCAGGUCCUUCAACCACCACAACUGCAGCGCCUAUUACAACUAGAACAGCAGCUCCUACAAGUUCAACCACAAUUGCACUUCCUACCUCGACAACCACAACGGCAACAUUUACCUCAACUUCUACGGCUUCAGUGGCAUCAACUAGAUUUGGCACAGUGGUGGUUUUUGUAAGACUAGAGUUCCAGCUCAACACUGCAGUCCCCAGUAAGGAUGUCGUCCUUGGUGCCGUCGACAAGAAACUGUCUACACAAUUCAGGACCUUCAAAAUUCAAAGAAACACUCAAGCCACCCUCCAGAAUGCAACUUAUAUCAAACUUUCAGAUACUUCAUUUGCUGUUGAUCUUGGUUUCAAAAUAACCAAUGUAUCUAUGGAGGAGAGACUGCUUCAAAGUGCUAGAGCCACUUUCACCGAUGAUACCUACAGCCAGAUACAGGAUUCAAUUAACAGCCUACUGCAUGAUAUUCUCAGUGAACCAAAAGGCAAACAAUUUGACUUUCCCAAAGCCAAAUUUAGUGUUGUUGGCAAUCAAAUCAGGGCAAACGUGACGUAUGUAUACAAAGAGAAAGACGUCAACCUCCCUAGUGCCUUUCUAGGGGAUGUUUUAAAAGUCUCAGGUCUCCUAACAACCACUGUUGCACCAACAACAACUACCAGCACCUCACCACCUACUACCCCUUUGCUGACCACUCCUUUCAGUAUAAGUGACAGAGGUUUUCCUGGCUGGGCUCUGGCCAUUAUCAUCCCCUGUGGCAUCGCUAUCAUUCUGGUACCCCUGUGGAUCCUGCUAUGUUGCAUGCUAUGUGGCGGCUGUGCAGCUUUAAGGAGACGCUGGCAACAACACAGAGCUUACAACGUACAGUACACCACAAGAAACGGCAUCUUCUGAGGUGACAAGACUAUCAAAAUAACAGCUAAUCAUCUAUAUCUGCUCAUCAUCACAACAAAUAAUAUAUUUUUCAUGUAAUCCAUACACCAUUACUUUUGAGAAGAUCAAACACGGACUUGCUUUUAUUUUUAUAACAAAAUUGCAUUGUUCUUGAAAGGGUUAAUAGGUCAUGUGUUUCCCCAAUGUACUACUUUUUAAUAUUAUACAGUAUUUCUCAUUUUAGUCAAAGCUACAGCUGAGCUGGUAUAUUAUGCAUUUAUGUAAUUUAAUCAUUUAUAUACACAAAAAUAUUAUUUUUGAUUUUUGUCAUUUCCCCUGCUGAUUUAAGCUAUUAACUCACUAUAUUUGAAAGUCUGCAAUACAGCACUUGUUUCUUUAUCAUACAAUUUAACACAUGUAAUAAAAGCCUUUCAAAUCAACAUUAACUGGAUAAAUAAUGUCUGCAGAAAUCCUCUUAGAAUUAUUUAAACAUGCUAUAACGCAACAAUUGUUAACACUUUGCUCUACGUGGGUAAGGUAUUCAUAACAC
Long non-coding RNA from Oncorhynchus tshawytscha (Chinook salmon), 2920 nucleotides. The record is from Ensembl. NCBI's taxonomy places the organism in Eukaryota, Metazoa, Chordata, Actinopteri, Salmoniformes, Salmonidae.